UGCAAACUCCACACAGAAAGGCCCUGGUUGGUUUGAACCGGGAUUCGAAACCAGAACCCUUUUUGCUGUGAGGCGAAAGUGCUAACCAUUACACCACCGUGCAGCCCCAGAGUAUGUUAUGUUCCAGAUAAGAGAUCGAAACCUGUCAACAGCUACACUACUGACCAAUCAGAUCACUGGAACAGCGUCAUCAUUCAACAGGAUCCCGUCAGGGACGUGAAAAAUAAUAAAGUGCAGCAGAUAUUUAUGAAUGAGUGGAAUCAUGUUGCUGUUGCAGACUUUUCAUCUGUCCACUGGUUUAAAAACAGAACUUCUAAUUAACAGAGAGAGUUAAUCACACUAAAUAUAUACGUUGACGCAUUGAUAUUAAAGCUUCAUUUGAAUCAAUAAAGAUUAUUUGAUUCCCGACAGAUUCAUUUAAGUUUAUUUUUGUAUCACUGCAGCUCGGAACAACGCGAGGAGACGCUGGCGAUAAAUAAUAGAAAAAACUAAAUAUUAUCUCGUUUAUUAGAACAAUCAUCCACACACUGAUCAAUAUUCCUCAUGAUCAUGAUUGAACAGUUCAGUCACACAUUAACGUCUUAUCUCCUCUGCCUCAGCAGCAGAAACAGUGUGACAUCACUUCAACCUUUUACGUGAAAAGGCUUAACGUAACUUAAUGUGCUAAAGCAGCGAUCAAUAAUCAACAAAUUUCUCUCAGAUAUGCUUCGUCGUAAACUUUAUUUAUGAAUUUGACAAUGUUGCUUGUAAUUACCGACUCCACCUCUUUCAUGUGAACACGCUCGUAACCGGACUGGAAAACCCAGGGUUGACUGAGACAGUUGAUAUCCAGCUUCGUAGUACAGGUUAUCCAGGAUGGUAAAUGUUUGCUCAAGUCAAUCCAGACAAAGAAAACAUAUCCUGGAUAUCUUCAUCUCGCAACUUUGAGAAGCCUGUAGCGGUGGAUGGGGCACACCCUCGGAUUUUAAAAGGCCAUGGAGCAUUAUCGCCAGGUUUCAUUUCUACCAUCAGAAAAAAACUGAUUUGAGAACAUUAACUUUGCAAUGCCUGCUCAUUGUUUAUUUAUUAUAUUAUUUUCUGCGCAGACGGUAGAUUAAGUGAUUAUUUUUUAUUUCGUUAAUUUUUUUUGAUGAUUCCAUAAUCACAAUUAAGCUUUUCUCCGGGAGGGACUGCAGGCCAUUUAGGCGUUUCCCCAUUCAUUAUGGAGUCUUUUUUCUUUGGGGGUGGGGGGAGUGGUACGGGUUUGUGUGGAUGUUCUGUGGGGAGAGGUAUGCUGUUUGGUGUUUCAGCUCAGUAUUUCUGGUUCUUUUUUUCUGUCACAGUUUUCCAUUGUCUUUCAUAUCACACAUGUAUGAAAUAUUCAAGGAUUUGAUUACUGAUUUUUUGAUUUGUUUGAAAUCAUGUCCACAAUUCUAAAGGAUAAAAUUACACCAAUCACAUAUAAUGUUUAAGGCCAUGGAAAUAACAUCAAAUGUUGGAAGGCUUUUUCUCAUUUGAGUUCAUUGAAAGCCGAUAUUGUAUCUUUACAAGAGACUCACACUAUUAAAGAUGUUGAUUACAAACUUAAACCUGGUUGGAUCUCACAGGUGUACCAUGCACCAUUCACAACCCGAGCAUGGGUUGUAGCAUCCUGUUUCGUAAAACUUUCUUUCUUUCUUAAAUCCGACAUUAUAGACCCAAAUGGGUGAUAUUAACUCGUUUCCAAUUAGCUUGUUGAAUAUUUAUGGCCCAAACUCUGAAGACCCCACCUUUUUUCAUACAUUUUUUGAACUACUUCCAGAGGAUGGAUCCUCCAAUAUUUUCAUUGGUGGAGACUUUAAUUGCUAUUUAGACUCAUUCUUAGACAGAACAUCCUCUAAAUCUCCUCCAACAAUUAACUUUGUUCAGACAGAAUUAUUGUAGAUAUUUGGAGAGUACAACACCCAGACAAAAAAGAAUAUUAAUUCUACAUGUUCACCAGUCAUUUACUAGGAUUGAUUACUUAUAGUGGAUGCCGGUUCAAUCGCCAACAUAAACACAGAUUAUCACAAAAUACUGAUCUCUGAUCAGAGUCCUGUUGCACUGCAGUUACUGAUUAAUUUUUCCAAACCUAAAUAGAACUGGAGAUUUAACCCUCUGAAACUAUCAUCACCAGAUUUUAAAGAGUACAUGUCCAAUCACCUCUGAGAUUUUUUUGAAAUCAAUGAUAAUGGAACAUUUUAAGACUCCAGGAAUCUCUUAAAGUUAUCAUUGGAGGAUAUAUUAUUUCUUAUGAGACCUCUCCUUUUUUUUUUAAGGUGACAUAUUAUGCUCAUAUUCAGGUUCAUACUUUGAAUUAGGGUUACCACUUGAAAAGGUUUACAUGCCCCAAUGUUCAGAAAAGUCUUCAGUGUUCUCAUACUGUCCAUUCCUCCAGCGCCUCUUUUCACCGCUUUUCACCCUCUGCCUCUCACGCUCGGCUUUACUCUAGCCCUCCCCGCACGGAAAAUCCCAGUUGCAUCUGAUUGGCCAGUUGGCCCAGUCUGUUGUGAUUGGUCAACCGCUUUCAGGGCAUGUACGAAAUGUCACGCCUCAUCACCAGACACGGAUGCUCCGAAACGGCCGGCAUACGGAGAAGCUAAAAACACAGACGUUGCUAAGCAACAAUGGCGAAUUUUCAACCGUACCAGUUGAAUCCCAAGUCUGACACCGACAGAGAGGAAGAACAAGCUGGCAGUCCUGAAGCUUUUCAACCGAGAUUGGAUCCGGACGUUUCAGAGUGGCCUAGAGCCGAAUUGCCUCAACUCAUACGCCCAGCAGAACAUCUACAACAUCUACAGAAUGGACUACGGACCUCUGAGGUGCAGAACAGAAGAAGAUUGGUGCUGUGGGACGCCACAACAGGGUCAUCAUCCCGUUAUGCGUCGUCCUCCGGAUCCGGCAGGAGUUUCCUAAUUCAGCUGACCUGUAUGCUGGCUUCCGACCACCCCUUGACUGAAG
Molecule: long non-coding RNA, 2958 nt
Organism: Scophthalmus maximus (turbot)
Lineage: Eukaryota; Metazoa; Chordata; Actinopteri; Pleuronectiformes; Scophthalmidae
Exons: 3
Source: RefSeq, a predicted model, not a curated record